AUACCCUGGUAGUCCACGCUGUAAACGAUGUCGACUUGGAGGUUGUGCCCUUGAGGCGUGGCUUCCGGAGCUAACGCGUUAAGUCGACCGCCUGGGGAGUACGGCCGCAAGGUUAAAACUCAAAUGAAUUGACGGGGGCCCGCACAAGCGGUGGAGCAUGUGGUUUAAUUCGAUGCAACGCGAAGAACCUUACCUACUCUUGACAUCCACGGAAUUCGCCAGAGAUGGCUUAGUGCCUUCGGGAACCGUGAGACAGGUGCUGCAUGGCUGUCGUCAGCUCGUGUUGUGAAAUGUUGGGUUAAGUCCCGCAACGAGCGCAACCCUUAUCCUUUGUUGCCAGCACGUAAUGGUGGGAACUCAAAGGAGACUGCCGGUGAUAAACCGGAGGAAGGUGGGGAUGACGUCAAGUCAUCAUGGCCCUUACGAGUAGGGCUACACACGUGCUACAAUGGCAUAUACAAAGAGAAGCGAACUCGCGAGAGCAAGCGGACCUCAUAAAGUAUGUCGUAGUCCGGAUUGGAGUCUGCAACUCGACUCCAUGAAGUCGGAAUCGCUAGUAAUCGUAGAUCAGAAUGCUACGGUGAAUACGUUCCCGGGCCUUGUACACACCGCCCGUCACACCAUGGGAGUGGGUUGCAAAAGAAGUAGGUAGCUUAAC
This 658-nucleotide ribosomal RNA is filed under the name bacterium sp. R2A-27. Its description in RNAcentral is "bacterial SSU rRNA". It matches the Rfam family "Bacterial small subunit ribosomal RNA", at positions 782 to 1439 of the family's 1533-position model. The record is from RNAcentral.